RNAcentral lists this unclassified non-coding RNA (316 nucleotides) under Hevea brasiliensis (rubber tree). The record is from RNAcentral. Lineage: Eukaryota; Viridiplantae; Streptophyta; Magnoliopsida; Malpighiales; Euphorbiaceae.
GAUUCUCGGUCCUCUGUAGUUCCUUUCCUCAAAAGCUCAAUAAACCUCUGCUUCUGUAAGCAAAAGAGAAGACGAUGAUCAUCAAGAACAAAAGGCGCAUGCACACGCAAGAGAUCAAUAGCGGCAUCAAUGUCACCAAACUCCACUAAACGUCUGAUCUGCCGAAUAAGCAAUCUUGACUGAUAAGAGGAAGAAGAUGAAGAUGAGGUUGACGAAGACGGCGAUAGAGACGUCGAAGGCGAAGUUGAAGGAGAACCCGAGUCUUCGAUUAGGUUUUCCGAUUUGACGAAAUCGAUAAUCAGUGUGUCUAGUGCCU